GGGGUUGUACUGGUUUCGACGGGGAUUUAGAAAUCAUGGAAGCCAUUGAUGGACCAGGACCAUCUAAAAACUUGGAACUAAAUAUAAACGCAGACGAAAAGUUAGCGUACGCUGCCUAAUGGCAGCUGUCUUUUCUUAAGUUUACUCGCGGCUUAGGUUAGGGCAUCAAACUAGCGGGGAACUUCAGUAUGAAAGCUUUGACAUGCUGAAAGAUUUAUGAAGCUACUAAGGCAUACAGCCUGUCGUUUGGCGGUAUGCUGAGGGAAUGUCUGUAAAGCGACUGUAAUGGGAGAUGCCAUGAUGGAAGAGUUUUCGGACGCGGGUUCAAUUCCCGCCAGCUCCACU
RNAcentral lists this transfer-messenger RNA (345 nucleotides) under bovine gut metagenome. It matches the Rfam family "transfer-messenger RNA". Rfam says of the family: Bacterial tmRNA, also known as 10Sa RNA or SsrA, is named for its dual tRNA and mRNA-like properties. Its role is to liberate the mRNA from a stalled ribosome. To accomplish this part of the tmRNA is used as a reading frame that ends in a translation stop signal. The record is from RNAcentral.